RNAcentral lists this long non-coding RNA (747 nucleotides) under Homo sapiens (human). RNAcentral's name for it is "HSALNT0192317". Lineage: Eukaryota; Metazoa; Chordata; Mammalia; Primates; Hominidae. The record is from RNAcentral.
GCCCCUCCCCCAGCCUGUCUUCCGCCUUGCAGUUUGAUCUCAGACUGCUGUGCUAGCAAUCAGCGAGACUCCGUGGGCGUAGGACCCUCCGAGCCAGCAUCAGCUAUCAAAACUUAUGGAAAUGGAAUUGAAGACAACUACUUCUAGAAUUGGUGCAUGGAAGCUUCUCAUAGGUGAUUAGCCACACUCUUCUUCUGUCAACCUGGUGCAGAAAAGCUUGAAGACCUUGGAAAUCACAUAUUGAUGAUGGAGGAGAUACAAGAAUGAAGGACCCUGGGUUCCUGAAUCAACACUCUAAGAAGAGACUCCUUGAAAUCAAGAGCACUCAUUUUGACAUUGCAAACGGAAAAAUUCACUUCUAUCAGGUUUGAACCAAUAUAUAGUUUAGGGUUUUUAAAAAAUAACUGUUAGCAUGACUUUAACUAAUACACAUGCCAUACAGGAUCAGACCUCUGUGACUUUGCUUUUACAGUCUGCUCUGUCUGGAGGGGAGUUUCAUCUUUGCCAUCCUUAAUGAUAUAGCAUAGACGCUAUGUCCUCCAGAAACUUCCUUGGCACCCACAUUUUUGGAUGGAAGCUUCUUGUCAUUUCCAUGGAAAGUAAGCUUAAUCUUGUCAAUGUGGUUCAACAUCAAAUUUGAAUUAUGUUCACCUAUCUUGUUUCCAACCUUCCCAACUAAAAUUUAAAUUUCAUAAAGGACUGAAAGCAAUCAUUUUGUAUCUCCAGCCAGGAACACAAUGCCAAGCU